This 553-nucleotide ribosomal RNA is filed under the name Chaetomium sp. RNAcentral describes it as "LSU rRNA". It matches the Rfam family "Eukaryotic large subunit ribosomal RNA", at positions 71 to 650 of the family's 3401-position model. Lineage: Eukaryota; Fungi; Ascomycota; Sordariomycetes; Sordariales; Chaetomiaceae. The record is from RNAcentral.
UGUAUUGCCCUAGUAACGGCGAGUGAAGCGGCAACAGCUCAAAUUUGAAAUCUGGCUUCGGCCCGAGUUGUAAUUUGUAGAGGAUGCUUUGGGCGCGGCGCCAACUGAGUUCCCUGGAACGGGACGCCACAGAGGGUGAGAGCCCCGUAUAGUUGGAUGCCUAGCCUAUGUAAAGCUCCUUCGACGAGUCGAGUAGUUUGGGAAUGCUGCUCAAAAUGGGAGGUAAAUUUCUUCUAAAGCUAAAUACCGGCCAGAGACCGAUAGCGCACAAGUAGAGUGAUCGAAAGAUGAAAAGCACUUUGAAAAGAGGGUUAAAUAGCACGUGAAAUUGUUGAAAGGGAAGCGCUUGUGACCAGACUUGCGCCGGGCAGAUCAUCCGGUGUUCUCACCGGUGCACUCUGCCCGGCUCAGGCCAGCAUCGGUUCUCGUGGGGGGAUAAAGGUCUCGGGAACGUAGCUCUUCCGGGAGUGUUAUAGCCCGGGGCGUAAUGCCCUCGCGGGGACCGAGGUUCGCGCAUCUGCAAGGAUGCUGGCGUAAUGGUCAUCAGCGACCC